UUAUAUCUAGUGAAAGACCUUUAGUGAGUACAUGGCAAUAACUGACUGUACUUUCAGGUGCUCAUAGAUAUAUUCACUCAUCUCAUGCAAGGAAAUACAAUCUGUCAUCCUGUGUAACAGAAGAGUGGUAGGCAGAACCAGGUGCAAACUGCAGUUACCUAUCCCCAUCCUCACUGAUUUUAGAGAUUUUUCAUGGAUCAGUCAGAGCAGUAGGAAUGCUGCUGUUCAUUUUAGUUGAUUUUAGCUGCUGGAAACUUGUCCUUAUUGAUUUAAAUACAGCAGUUCUUAUUUAUGCAGAACUCAUGAUCGAAUUAUUUGGCUGGGGCUGGAAGAAUGUGACCUUUAAUGCAUAAGUAAAUAAGCCUUUCCGUCAUGUAUAAUCUCUCCCAUAUGACAGAUCUGUGACUGUCUAAAGUGACAGAAAGAUCAUAUGAGUCUUUAUUUUUUGUGGUAUAUUAUCAGAAAAAGUCACAAAUCAUUCCUGUCCGUGUGCAGAGAGCAGCUAAUGAAAAAAUUUCAUUCCAGAGUGGUCUCUGUGAUGGAUGUAAAGUUGUAAGAAGUACAGUAAGUAAAAUAAAGCAAGGUUACUCUAAUCUCUUCUAUAAAGCAGAUAGGAAAGGAAAACAUGAUUUAAAAUAAACUCAAACAGAGAAAGUAGGUAACAGGCCCCUGUUCCAUUUCCCUCAUUCAUUCAUAAAUUCCAAUGUUUCUUCUUCAAUUUUAGGAGAAAAAGCAAUAUUCUGAGCUAAAGCUAAAAGUAAACCAAACCUUAAUGUAAUAUGGAGUAGAGAGAGUGAGUACCAAUAGAAGAAGGAUCCAGAAUGUUUUUGACAGCAUUUUUAAGAAGCAUGUGCCAUUAGCUCAUUAUUUUUUUAUUCCCACACUAUAGAAAAAGAAAAAUUUAGGCACUAUAGUACUCCUCAGCAAAAAUAAAAAGGUCCCUGUUAACAGUCAGCCUACUGCAGAAGUACCACUCUCAAAUAUUGCUGUGUAUGUAUAGGGUGGUGUUUCUGAUCAACAGAAAAAGAGCAUCAGGACAGGAACCAUUAUUUUUGGUACUUAGUUUUGCACUGAGCAUAGUGAGGUGCUAAUGCAGCUUGUGUGUUAUAGAGUCAUAGAAUGGUUUGGGUUGGAAGGCAUAUUGAAAAUCAUUUAAUUCCAACCCCUCUGCUAUGGGCAGAAACACCUUUCACUAGACCAGGUUGCUCAGAGCCCCAUCCAAUGUGGCUGUAACACUUCCAGGGAUGGGGCAGCCACAACUUCUCAGGGCAACCUGUUCCAGUGCCUCACCACCCUCAGAGUAAAGAAUUAUUUCCUAAUACCUGAUCUAAAUCUACUCUCAGUUUAAAGCCAUUGCCCCUUGUCCUGUCACUACAUGCCCUUGUAAAUAGUCUCUCUCCAUCUUUCCUGUGAGUUCUUUUCAGAUAUUGGAAGGCUGUGAUUAGGUCACCCUGAAACCGUGCCUUUCCCGGACUGAACAAUUCCAAUUCUCUCAGCCUUUCCUCAUAGAAGAGGUGCUCCAUCCCCCUCAUCAACUUAGUGGCCCUCCUCUGGACUCACUCCAACAGUGCAGGGGGAGUACUCCCUUCCAGUGCAGAGCAUCAGAAUAAAGGAAUGUCUCUGAGAAGGAUGGCUUCCUUUUGCUGCCUUAGGCCAAGAAGUCAGAAUGCUUCUCCUGAGAUGAUGCAGAUAACUAUGGUUCUGUAGUGCCCAGUACCUACACUGAUGCCAUCUUCACAGUAUCCUGAUCAUGGCUAAAGGUAAGAUCUGCAGGACUGGCUUGGCUAUUGCUAGACCAGUUACUAACAACUACACUUGUAAGAAUUUUGAAGUUAGACGGAGUGGAGAGUCUUUGCGGGGCACAUUUGCUGCAAGUAGAGUGGGGUGAAGCAGGAUCCACCCCUGCUGACUUUGAGUUCUGUGGUUCUUGCUCUCUGAGUCCACUGCACAAAAAGAACGUUUCCAAAGGUGCGAGCAUUCUGCUUAUCAUGGGGGAGAUCCUUUGUGUCCUCUGUAUUACCUCAGAAAAAAUAAUAUGAAGCACAUAGAUUUGAAAUACAUGCUCUGCAUCUCCACUGUGAAGGGGGCAGAUCAGGCACCUACAGUCCUCUGUGGCUGACAGGAAACUGCUGUGCAGAGAAUAAUAGAUAAUGUUUGUUCUCAAAUCCUGUACACAGGUUCUGUGUACAAUGUUAACAUCUGCAGACACAAUAUGAGGGUCAAAAAAGGUGGGCCAAAUUGACUUACUUUCUCUUCUUACAUGGCUUUGCAACAUUUGUGAUUCACUGGUCUUUUUAUGCUCAAACAGAAAUCUAACUUGUACAAGUCAUAAACCAACCCACAAUUACCAGAGCACCCAUGUGAAAACACCUUUCAAGAGAUAGCAGAUUUCAGUUUGAAGCCUAGUUAUUACACAUAAUAAGCCAAAUUCUCCACUGACGUCAGUGUGGCAGGGGUGUGAGUCACUACUGAAUUUGGACUAGUUUUAGCGGAAAAGAUGGGAAUGAUAAAAUGCACCUUGGCACUGUCCUUUUAGUGAAAGCGAACUUUGCUCGAGCAAACACUUUGGAGUUAUAACACUCUGGAGUGAGGGGACAGGCCUGGGCAUAAUAAGAAGGAUCUCUUUUCAGCUGCAUGUUCUUCCUAUGACCAGCCAAAAGUGUUUCUGUUGUUUGAAGGAAAACCAACCUCAUUAUAUACAGCAGACUUGCUUUUAAUCAGUGUUGAUUAGAAGUGAUGCUGCCUACCUGCUUUGUCUUUUAUUGCAGCAGGACCAUCUCCUAAAGAUGAGCUUUGCCAUAAGUACCAUUUUUUAAUUAUAAUAAUUAUCUUUUUGGUUAAGCUCUGGCACAGGCUGUUUGGUAGUGUGGUUGACUGCCUGACUUAACCAAAUAGUUAUGCCAGGCACUGCAGCUUUCUUGACAGAUAAAGCAGUAAUAUGGCAGUCAUGCUUCAACUUCUCAGAUGGUUGCAGGUGUGCUUGCAGAUGUCAUCUGCAAUUGUCUGACACCAUUUACUUUACAAUGACCUACAGUAAAGGAAAGGAAAAAGAGCAGAGCUAAGACAGACAAACUGAAGAGAAAAGUGGUGUGUCUGUUGGUAACCAGCUUUAUAGGGUUAUAUGCAGCUUUUACUGAACACUUUGACCUGUAGAUAGCUUAAUUUGCACUGAAAUUAAAGGAAUUAAUUGAUGUUUAUGCUGCUACUCAAGAGAUCAAAAGUAUUUCACUGACAUCUUGCUAUUUAGUCUAGAAAUCUGGAUAUCAAGAACUGAAAAUAACAGAAUGAAUGUUUGUCUUUUGAGUAUUUUAACAGGUAGGCUCCAAACUCCUGACAGAACAGGAACCACUGAAAGUGACAGCAGUGCUUGAAAUCCACCUGGUAAACAAAACUGUAAAGCUUCACCUAGAAGGUCAAUGGGAAAUAGUUGAAGUGGGAUGAUAUGUUUAUGAAAUUAUUACAACUGACAGUGAACUGUCCCACACUGUGAAAAUUAAGGGUGUUCAGUCCAAUGACUUUAAAGAACUCACAUGUUAACAACACUGGAGAUCUAGUGCAGAAGGCUCUGCUCUUCAUUGAUCGUAAGGGAUGCAAAAUAACCAUCUUUGAACAGUGGGUGGAUCAAAUGCAAGACAACAGGGUCUGAGCUGUGAAAUCUGUAAAGCAAAAACAAAAAACCCCAGAGUUUGGGCUGACAAAAUUGAAAGCUGCGGUCUCAUAAAGCCUGUCUGUGGACAGCAAGCAAAAAGAGCUCCUUUUCCCACUUAAAGUCCCAAGCCUUGUGUCUCUCCUGCACAGGAGACCAUGUUAUAUCCUGCAAAGGCAAAGCCACCUGUUUCAAUUUAUAAGGUGCUUGCUGGUAUGUGCCACUUUUUCUUGCCAAUCCCUUCCCCUUCCUGAAGGGGAUGAAGUGAGUGAUUGAGAGGUCUCCUAAGUGCACCAUGAGGCAGGAAGGGAAGAGAGAAGAGUUUAUUUUUAAUGCUACUGAGCUGAGUGCAAUCAGGAGAUUGCAUAGUGACCAUAACAAUGACAAUAGAGCAGUACCAGUGUAACUGUGGAGGGUAAGCAUGAAUGACUCAGGAGAGGAAGAGGAGGAGGAAUAGUUGUCUUUACACUGUUGUUCAGUGAACUCUGCAGUGGAGCAGUGCUCCUUUGCUGUAACAGAUAGGAAACUAAUGUAAAAUUACACUGCUCUGCAGUCUUUUUAUUGUUUAACAUGGAAUAUGACACUCGUUUCUACCUCCUCUUGGUAAUAUGAAGGUAAUAAUGAGGGACUUCCCUUUGCUGGAUGAAGUGGUAGAAGCACAAAGCAGUAAAUCUUCCAUUCAAGUCCUUACACCUGUCACCUUAACCAGCCUAGUAAAGUGUAUCAUAUUUUUCAUUUUAAUCAGGGUUGCUCUAAUGUAUUCUUAUCUUGAUUCUUUAAAGUGACCCAUGGGACAUUUGACUGCAGUCUGCUGAGGACCAGAAUCACAACAUGAGACUGGUUCAGCAUCUUGAAAGGCCUGUGAGUACAGUAGUGUGUCACAGUUCUCAUGCUGUCAGGACACAUACUGAAGACAUGAGCUGAGGACACCAAAAAGUGGAGAAAGUGAACAAAGGUACCUAUCUCUAGUAUAAAGCCUGCAGGAGAGACAAAUACUACUUCUGAACGCAAGGCGUGAAAUGGAGCUGGUAUGGGAGAAGCAGUGGAGUUACAGGAAGGAAUUCUAGCAAUGCCACCUUCAGGUAAGAACUGCAGUAUUCAUCCAGCAGGAACUCCUAUCUGGCAGCUGUUACUUUCUUUUGUUUUUAACAUAUACCACAUUUUGUAAGGUUUUAUGAAAUUCAUCUUGCACAAGAGAACAUUUAUCAUCACAGCUCUGCUGGAUUUUGUUCAGUUUUCAAAGGUGCUGAGAGGAGAUGGAGAGCAGCACAAGGUGUGCAGUCCAUGAACCAAACUGAAAUCAUUCUGCCAUCCUUCUUGCUUAGCUGUCCCCUGGUUGGGUGUGUCAGUUGUAAUGGCAGUUGUUUUUUCCAGCAUAUAACUUCUCACGUCACACCUCAGAUGUUGUUACAGAGGUCACUUUUGGAAGAUUCUCUGAUUCCUGACAUGGAUUCUGUCAUCUGAGCAUGGGUUAGGACAGCAGGUACUACAGCAAGUAAACCAUCAUGUUUGAAACAGCCAUUUGCUGUAAAUACAGUGGUGUGGAAAAGGAUUAUAAUUCUUUCAGGCCUCAGUUGGAAUGGGAUGAGCAGUCAGGUGCCAGAAUGCAGAAGUUGAAAUAACAUUAUCAGAGUUCAUGCUUCAAGUACCCUAAUUGUGUCUUGAGAAUGAAGGUAUCAUGACCUGCCAUGAAAUCCCUAGAUAGCUUACUAUUUGAGGCAGCAAAAUAUUUAAAUCUUUAUUGUAUAGGACUUAAAUUUGACAUUAUACAAAACUGCUUAUGGCAGAAGUUGAACAGUAAAAUCAUCAAAUAAGGCAUUAAAGCUACCUCUUCUUUUAUUUUGUUCUCAUUCACAUUUUACAUGUAAAUUACACUUUUUUAUUCCACGUUUUUUACAUUGUUUUUAAAUAUUCCUGUUCCACCAGCCUCACCUGAAGUUGUCCGGAACAGGUGUUCAUCAACAAGCAGUUGAUUGCUGAGGCAUUAAUGUUUCUCUUCUGGUUGCACAGAUAUUAAGAGAAGAGCUGGCAACAUUGCAACCCUUACACUAAUUGCCUUCAGCUGAAACAGUCUGAAGGUUUCUUCUUCCGAUCUUCAGGCAUGACUCAACAGACUGAAGAAUGGCUUUACUUUUCUGUGCAAUCCUCACUCUCUUAAUUUUUUUUUCUCUCUUGGCCUGUUUUUCUUUAAUUCCCACCUCCCCAGGUUUGAUCUCAUUGUGAGGCUGAAGAGCCACAUGGUGGUUUGUGCUGGGACAGCACCACACAUUCAUACAUCCUUUCUGUAAGAUUCUGGGUUGUGUCCUGCCAGAGGAGAAAUCCUGCAAUUAGUGUGUUCUUGGGCAUCUGGUGAAAUACAGUAUCUGCAGGGCUACAGAGGCUGUAGUUGUCUUUUGGCCUUUAUCACAUCAGCUGUCACUUUGGUUUAAAAGUUGACUGUUGGAGAAAAAUCAUACAGUGCUUUAGGUUCAUCAAGUCCUGCAUAACUGCUCACUGUGGUUAUGGCAACUCUUUCUAUAAACCUCCCUGUGGUGGUGAGAUAGAGGGACUUCUGCUGCACAACCCAGCCCUUUACAACUGGAACAGCAGUGUUCAACAAACCAUAAAACAUUGGGGAAGCUCUCUGAUUCAUCAUGAGAAGCAGAACUUUUCAAGCAUGCAACUACACUUCAUGUUAACUGAAGUGAAAUCAUUCUUGAUUAAACCUUGAGUGACCUAAGGGAGUCACCGGGUUGUAAAGACACUGAUUGAAGUCCCAAAACUGUCUUGUCUGAGGUACAAGUUCUGUUACAUGGAUGUUGGGCUCAUUUCUGCAGAGGCUAAUGGCAGUUUUUAUGUGCUUUCCUUCUUUUUUAAGCCUACUACAUGAGCUGAAGCUCCACGAGGACCCUGCAAAAUCAGCCCCACUGUAAGAAAGCAUCUCUCAGUCCAAACUGUACAAGUUGAUCUUGUUGAACCAACUGUGUUCCCUCAGCUUUCAGGAUGAUCAAACUAAUGAACUGUAGCAUAAGGUUUUGUGGCAUCUCCCAAGCCAAGCCAGCUUUGUGCACUUUUCUGGAGACAAAGCCUGCCAUUGCCUUUACAACUUGAGAAAAAUCUCCCAGAUUGGUGUCCUUGAAACAUUUUUCUAUCAGGCUGAUUAUGUACAAGUAGCAUUUGUAGACACAGAUAUCCCUUUUGUGCUCAGAGAUGGUGUUUGUUUCUUUUGCUGCCCGAGCCAGGAAGCAGAACAUUACAGUUGCAGUUGUCUUGGCCAGUGCUCUCCACCACCACCACUGAUGUGGCAAAAAGGCAGGCACAUCAGCAAGAGGGAGGACAAGAACCAUACCCAUACCUUAUCCACAGCACCAGUGAUUUGUUUCUGACCUCUACCAGGUUAUCCUCAAGAAUAGUUAUGGAGAUGUCCUUUACAACAUUCAAAUGCAAGUUGCAGGUACAGUAUAGAGAAAACUUGGGCACUUCCAUCACCUCCAUCUGGGUCUUGACAAGGAGGGAUUUUUCUGCUUAUGGAAAAUUCACACAAUUUCUGCACCAAUACUAGGGUUGGGAAGGUUGCUUUUUAAUUUAAAAAAGACAACAAACAAACAAAAAAGAAUGCAUCCAGUGACACAGCCCUUUAUCUAAAAAAAUGCCACAGGAACAAUCCAAAUUUUGUUUCCACUCAAGGGGAGAAAGACUCCCUGCCCAGUGAGGAUUUUCCUACCUCUUGUCAUUGUGUUUCCCAAGUUCUUCCUUCAGACUAACUCAGAGCCUGUUAGGUGAGCCAAACCUGGAAGCAGUAUGGCUCAGGGCCCAGGAAUAAGGAUGGUGCUGCUGGGGCUUUGCUCACUCUGUCCAAAGUGGAGGGAAAGAGGGAAGCAGUUACUGCUUACAGAUAUCCCCAAAUGCUACCUUGUUUUUCAUGCCAUUAUUUGAACAGGCAGAUUCCCAUAACAGCACUAACACAACAGUGUCUGUCCCCUCAGCAGCCUGGUGACAUCAUUUGCAUUGAAAGUGGGUCUGUGCCAGCCAAGUGGAGGCAGGCUGGCUUGGCUACUUAGAGAGACUGUUGGGGUUUAGAGACCUUCUCAGUGUAUUUUGUACUUGUCAUCUCUUCAGAGUGCUUUGUAAAACUAACAGCCUUAUUUCUUCAUCAGAAGGUAACUACAUGCACAGGGCAAAUUAGUCCUCAGGUUGCUCAGGGUAGAAGUACUUUCCUAGACACACAGGGACUUUGGAAGGGAGAGGCUAAAGUGAAAAUUUUUUUGCCUCAGAAAAGGACAAAAGGAGGGUGCCAAACAGAAUAAACUAAUACUUGAAAGGGGUCAUUAAUUCAUAGCUUUCACCUGACUACCCACUAAUCUGCAGCUGGUUGAAGAAGUCCCAAACACCAUGACCGUAAAUCGCAGCUCAGAUGUAGAAGACAAUUAGCAGACUUACGGUGUCCUGCAGUGUGAUGUCAGUAAUGCCACGUGGUUCACAGACACAGAGAAGGUCUACAGCAGUAAGUGUGUCACAAGCCUGCUCCCAGGGACAAAAUACUUCUUUUGAGUCACUGUCUGCAGAUUUUGCAGCAGGGAUAUUUUCCCUCUGGAUUCACAGGAGCAAUAGUACAUCUCCACAGACAGAGGUAAGCAUAAACAUUCAUGACAGCACUGGAGGAACAUGGGUGCUCUUGUACACAAGACUCCCUGUGUGGCCUUGGGUGUAUCACUAACCUGGUCUGCACCUCAGGUGCCCACCUGGAGAUUAGACACAAGAAUACCUCCUGUCCUAUCCCAUCCAUUUGUUGGCAAUCACUUCAGGACCAGGCGUCCUUUUGCUACAUGUGUAUAUAGCACAUUACAUAGCAGUUCAUACAGAUGCUGUUUAAAUUAAAAUUCAGCACAGUCAAGGCCACCCAUGUGCAGGGAGGGAAUAUUAUCAUGUCUUGACAUAACAGAAGAUUGGUGUUAUAAGUCAUUUGUGUUAUAGCACAUUUCCAGUCUGACUAGGAUUUGUUUGCUAAAUAAAAAGCAAACAGAUCUGUUACAUGCAGGAGACUGUGUGACAGUCCUUCAGGGCCAGAAACUGUAAGAAGUCCCUAAAAGAACAUUAAAUUAAACAUUCAGAGCUCACCCUAUCAGGUAAAUGCUUUCUCUGUUGUUCUGUUGCUCCCUGCUCAUGCCUAAUCAGUAAUAGAGAUGUCUCAUCAGCACUGCUCCCAGACAAAACUGAACAUGGCCCAGCUCAAGUCAAAAUGGUAAGUCAUCCUUCUGCCCAGUCUGGGGCAACGCAGAAUGCAGACUUUAAAUGGUGAGAUCCAAGGCAAAUUUUUUUGCUUGGCCUAUUCCUAGUGUAAUAAUGUGGUAAUAUCAAAGAGGUAUAUAUUAAUAUACAUUACUAAAUUAAGCACAUCUUUCUUCAGAAGCCUAUUGAUGUGCUGCUACAAGUCUUCUAAUCCCACUAAGAGUAAUGGGCAAUACAUUAAAAUAACACGAUGAGUAGUUCACUAAAAGGAGUAAUGAGAUGUCAAAUUGUGAAUUUGUAUUUGUCAUCCUUUCCUGAUUGGCAUCACUGGACCAUAGGUAUGUCACUCGGGCUACGUGUGCCUCUGAGAAAGAGCAGUUCCAGUUAUGUGGCCAUAUUUGUGUUCUUGUGUGGAAGUGCUGUAGGCCUGGAUUUUACAGAGUCUAAUAUAACCUCAGUAAUUGCUGUGCAUGAAGGCAAGUGUAGAAGAGCAGUGAAUGGAGGAAAGUUAGGUUGAUAACAGCCUGCCUAUCCUCAGGCAGGACCAGCAGGACACAAGCAGAUGUGAACGAAUUUCCUAUUCUUCAUUAAAAAUGGCAAGUUUAUUUGCACAAACAUGAGAUGGAAGAAAAACUCUGAAAGAAAAGGAGGAAAUGGGCUGUUUUCUCUCAUAAAAGAAUUUUGCCAUGCAGUGAUACAUUUAGAAUGCAAGGGACCUACCUGAUGGGAUCCCAUGCCAGUGCAAAAGGCAGUAAUAAAGACUUCAAGAAAUGUGUUUAAAUACAGGCUGAAAAUGUGAGAUUUGCAGUGGACACUGGAAAUUAAAUUGUACAGGCAGUUCCCCUUGAUUUCCCCAGAGCAUUCUGUAGGCUAUUAAUGACUCAGAGCAACACCAGCAGAGCAAUAUCCCUUCCUUUGCAAGAUCACCUGCUUUGGUUUAUAAUUGGGUGUAAUUUAAUCAUGCAUUUCUAAAGUGCCUUGGGAGCCAAAUAUCCAAAAAGCACUUUACAAUUUAAUGGCAUUAGUGAGAGAAGGCAUUGAUAUAUCCCUGUGGAGCAAAAAUCUGACACCUUAGUUACAGACCAAGAAACAAAGAAAUUAAUGGCUUGCUUACAGUUGCAUAGCAGAUUAAUGGGAGAACGAGAUUUCCAAUUCCUUCCUUUCUUGCUUUGCAGAUUGUGUUUGUUUACAUGUUGAGAUGGGUAUGCUGGUCAGAUGCCAACAGUAAUGUUGUGUGUUGUUCAUUCUUUCUCCUCCCUGGGUUUUCCUUGAUGGGAAAGAAGAUCCUUGUCAUGAAAUGUCAUACCCAAGGUUUUUAAGGUUUGUGCUUGUGCCAGGAGAAGACUCUGUCUUGAUGGUGUUUGCAUGUUUGUGUGUGCAGGAAGUGCAGUGCAGAGGAACCCAUAGUGACUCCAUCCUCAGCAAUGUUCUGGCCUCAGGAUGGAGUAUCCUGGGAAGGACUGUGCUUCCUGUUUCAUUGCCCCACUGAAGAACCACAACAUGAGUCAUAGCAACAACUGCGCCCUGAGCUGUGUUUUCAUCAGCAACCCCCACCUAACAGUGGCCCUCUACAAGGGCAGCAUUAGCAUCACAUCCAAGCCUAAGUUGUGGUUCACCUCAUCAUGUAGCAUCUGUCUACUUGUGAUCCCUACAACUUGCAGCUGCAAACUGAUCGUCUGUGGUAGGUCAGAUUUGCAGCCACUGUGAUUUAUUUGGGUUGGUUCCCUCCAGGCUGAGUAACCACAGAUUUCGUGUCUGAGUAUAGUUUACACCCUGUUAUUUUACGAGGGCAAGUGCACUUAUUGGGACUGGCACUGUGGCUCUGGGCCAGUGUGGCUCUCAUCCUUGUCCACAGGGGAUGAGGUUGCUCAGUCUGUAUGUCCUGGAGUUGAAGCUGCAAGGUCACAUUGUAAGAACUUGCCUUUGUAUCCAAAAAAAACAGCCUCACUCUCUGACUUUGUCUUCCUCUGAGAUCACUGAAAUUUGUCUUCAGUUGCUUUAAGGCAAUAUCACAUCUCUUAAAAUGGCAUAUUUUGGCUAGCAGGCCUCAUGAAUUCCCUAGAUGGCUCAAAGGUAAAUAUGGGUAUUUCUCACUCCCUAACCAGGCUUGCCCUGCACCUGUGGCAUACUUAGCACUUCCAAGCAGUCCACUGAUGCACUCUGACAACAGCUUUAUGCUUCUUUUAUGGCUACUACAGACACCACACUGGGUAAAUCUGUUCUCUUCCUUUGUAGAACGACAGGAUUUUGCCAACAUUGUAUGACAUAGUUAAAUUUCCAAGACACAAAACGGAAGAAAAACAGACCCCCUCUCCUUUCCCUGUUUUGUUAAAGCUCCCACCCAUUGAAGCUUAAAUCCAGUUGUAACACAGAGCUUGGUUCCAGCUGCCUCAAACUGAUUGUGUGAGCCUGAACACUUCCAGGUGCGUGGGGUGAGGUUUUACCAACACUAACCCAUGACCCUCACAUGGCUUCCCGUGUCACCAUGCCCAAACUUAGAGCUUGCAGAGUGGUCUUGCAGCGUGUGCAGCAGUACCUGGAAAGAAACUGUGUCCUGUCAGUGUCAUCAGCCCCUGGCAAGCUCACCCUGCUUAGGGCUGAUUAACUAUAGAGCCUUUGAGGUUAAACAUUUGAGAGCAAGGAUUCUUUUAUCUGACGUUGCUGAAGUGUGUUUCCCCUGUUCUCCCUUUCUAGAGAAAGGCCCUGGUGCCUCAGACCUGUUAGUGUCUUCUGAAAGGGAACAAGAGAGAGGCUGCCAGGCACAGCUUGAAAUGAAACUGAUACAGCACCAAUAAUGAGGGACUAUAUUUGGAAAGAUCUUUUGGAGUUAUUUUUGCCUGAGAUCAUUGCUUCUGGACAGCCUGCUGGCAACUGCUGAGCACACACACACACACACACACACACACACACACACCCCCCACCCAGGAUUAGGUUCUCUCUGCUGAUGUGGAAGUAGCUCGCAGGGGGUCAGCAGAGGGAAGGGAUGCAUACACUGGGUUUCCUGCUCUGAUUUUCAGGCAAACUGAUCUGUCUUUGUGCAUAGAAUACAUGCAACACUUCUUCACUGAAGCCGGACACUGCUCACCCGAAAGACUGAAAGCAAUUCUUAACCAUUUUUUUUUAAGAAUUCCUGGUGUUACCAUGUCUCCCACUUCCCAUGCUCCCUGAUAUGCUCCUCCCUGAAGCCACAGUUUCCUUGUUCCUCUAAUCAGUGGGAGCCUUCUCAGGCUGCCAGCCAGGCUAAGGCAAGGAACUCUGGCAGCACUGCUCACCCUCUUCAGGGAGGGCAGACAGGCCUGGGGGCACGAGAGCAGCUCCCUAUCCCCUGAGAUCUGAUUGCUGGGUAGCAAGUACCUGCUGCCUUCCCACACAGAGCUUGUCAAGGUGAGGACUGGUACAAAAGGAACACACCUCUUCAAAAUUAUUCAGAUCAGCCUGUUUACAGCAGAGCUGGCUGAGGAACCAGGCUUGCAAAAGCACUCUAUGGGUGAGGUGCUGAUUUGUACUGAGAUACCGUAAUGGGAGCCUGUGUCUAAGGGCUCCAAGGGCUCCUCUUUACCUUGACCUGGGCGGUCUCUGGGGAGGGUUUCUCUCCUGGCAUCUGUUUGCAGCUGAGAGAGGUGGGAAAGCAGGAGUCAGAAUAAGAGAUUGUAAAACUGACUUUAGCAGAUAAGGCAUUUACAUCAAAUUGAGCUUAACUGCAGGUUUAUUUGUAGCUCUCAGGAACUAUAUACUUGAUGAAUUUUAGUUCUGGAAGAGUGGUAGUUACUGCUUAGAGAGGUAGUUACUGCUUAGAGAGGUAGUUACUGCCUGGAAUCAGACACUGUAGGCUGGAGGGCAUCAUGCCUCACGUAAAAAGCAAGCCCUCUUCAUUAUGCCAGAAGCCCCUUCAGAGCAGGACUUGAAAUUUCUUUAGGGAUUCUUUCAGUGGUCUUUACCUGAUGACAGGCUAUCCUAAGGGAAUGGAGUAAGGAGGGAUCUAAGGGCUGAGCAAAUCUGCUGAUUUGAAUAGCUCUGUAGGAGUUGCUGGUUUCUAUGCUGAUUCCAUGGAGGUUUAACUUCUGUCUGAAUUCCUCUUGUUCUGUUGUGGUGGGUUGACUCUGGCUGGACACCAAAUGCACACCAAAGCCGCUCUAUCACUACCCUCCACAGCCAGACAGGAAAGAGAAAAUUUAACAAAAGGCUAAUGGGGCGAGAUAGGGACAGGGAGAUCAUUCACUAAUUACUGUCAUAGGCAAAACACACCCAACUUGGGGAAAUUUAAUUUAUUUAAUUUAUAAUCAAAUCUGAGUAGGUUAAUGAGACAUAAAAAGUAAACCUUAAAAUACCUUACCCCCACCCUUCCCUUCUUCCUGGGUUUAACUUUACUCCAGAAUUCUUUACCUCCUUCUCCCAGUGGCUCAGGUGGACAGGGAAUGCGGGCUGUGGUCAGUUCAUCAGAAGUCAUCCUUGUGCCUCCUUCCUCUGCUCUGAUGCGUUCUCACAUCUCUCUUCAGCUGCAGUUGCUGUUGCAUGGUUUCUUUUCCCCUUUCAUAAGUCUGUUGACACAGAGGCACUGCCACCAUCGCUGUUGGGCUCAGCCUUGGCCAGCAGCGAGUCCAUCUUGGGCCCGUUGGCUCUGCUGGGCACAGGGGAAGCUUCUUGCACCUUCUCACAGAAGCCACCCCUGCAGCCCCCACAGGACCAAAAGCUUGCCAUGCAAACCCAAUACACGUGUAUUCUUCUGUUUCUCUCCUUCAAGGAAGGACACUGGCAUUCUUCUGCUUAGCCAUGUUCUUCAGUUUUAGCCCCUUUUUUAAUAUUUGCAAAACCAAAUAGGGCAUUGCACCACUUCUAUGAAACACAGCAGCAGCUUUGCUGCUGUUGUAGUUCAGAAGGGGUUAAUAUAAGUUUCCUGAGGCUUGGAGGUGGAAGGUUGCAGAGAACACAAAGCCUGUUAGACCCAAAGCAAGUUAUUCGUAAUAGUGCUGAACUGAACAAGGGGAAAUGGGAGUGAAAAUGAGAACUCCCUAAAUUUGAACUAUCACUUCCUAUGAAAACUGUGACCAGACAACUUUUUCUUUUAUACAGUGGAAAGCCUUACAGAGCUUUAUUAGGUUUAAAAUUUGUGUAAAGCUUUUAAUCCAUAACUUUUUGAAACUUGUUCUCAAAACAUAGGGUUGAUUGCACUAAUUAUGGCACUCAUUUUCUUUUCCUUAAGAAAAAGAUGGACACAGUGACAGGAAGUUUGGAGAAGUCAAAACACAAGAGGUAAUUAGUGGAACUAGCUGUGCCUAGUCCAGCAUGCAGAACAGCAUUGCUGUGGCUGCGUAGUUUGUCAUCAUGUGGCUCAAAACACAGCUGCCCUUGGCUUCUGUAAUGGUCAGUUAAACCAGGUGGUGGAGUGGGGUUUCUGCUCAGCAGGGACACUUCCCAUGUUUCUAUCUUCCUUUCCUCUAAAUGGUUUUAGACAGCAUUAGGGUACAUGUUAAGUGUGAUAUUUCUAACCCCAUCUGCUAACGUAUCUUAAUGGUAAUAAAAGGAGCCAAUAUGUUUGCUUCCACCCUGGUCAGUGAGAAUCCUGCUUCUGAGUUCAAGAGGAGGCUUGGCUUCUGUUUUCAUGUCCCCAGAUAGCCCAGCAGGACCUUUUUAGGCUUCCUUAUGUCAGAUUGUAUAUAAACAAAGAUUAGAGUCCUUGCAAUACCAAGAAAGUAGACACAGCUUUGCAAAUGAAGGAGUCACUUUGUGAAAGCGCUGGCCACAGAAGGUCCAGGAACUUCACUGCCAGUGGCCAAGACUAGACUAUCUGAACCACUGAACAAUUAGCAGACUGACAGGUAGAUUAAUACAAAUAUAUAUAUAUACAUUGGGGUGGUCCAUUUAAUUUAGACUGAAAUCUUUCAGAAGCCAAUUGUGGAGUAAAAGCAUAGCAGCGGCCAGCCACAGACAUACAGUCGGUCUGAGAGUAUUUUGUCACUUUUGUUCCAUCUGGAGCUAGGAAGGAGGUAUGAGGAAACAGGAUGCUCCUCCCAGCAGGCCUCUAAGUUCUUGAAAGGGAUUGUAAAAGAUCAAAUUAAAGAAAGAGGAAAGACUCACCCACUUUUGCCUACUGUUGACACCUUUAGGCUGCUUUGAAAAUAAUUUGGUAGUAUUUCUGCCUGGUAAUGAUUAAUUCUCACAUCAGGAAUCACUUCACUUCAGAAGGGGAGUAUUAAGGAGUCUCCAUUAAGCCUGGAAGCAGAUCCAUUUAACUUAGAGGGAGCAGUUACACACAGUGUGUUUCUGUGCUAUAAAUCCUUGAAACCUGUUCUACUGGUGACAGAUGGCCUGGUUCAGGAUUAAUGAUACAAAAUAUCUGUGCCACUGCAUCAAACAGCUGAAGAAUCUGGCAGCAGAUCCCCAACCAGAAUAAAAUGUGCAGACUACCCUACUUUUCUUCUCCCGGAAAUUUUUCUGGGGCGGGGCAGGGAGAGAGAUUUGGCCAUUUGUCUGAGACUUCUUGGCAGAAAAGAGCCUUCCCAGAGCAAUCCUGUGCAGCAGGAUGCUUUCUCCCUGGAAUUGUGGACAAAUGGCCAUUGUGUGUGGGACUGGCUGGAGCAGCAAGGGGCAGGAUUGCUUCAGGGCUUUGCAUCCCAGGGCACCCAGGACGUGGUGUAACACGAGCCAGAUGCCAUCGUCAAGGUGGUGCCUGGUUGGUUUGUGUUGGAUGUGCUCCGUGGGGUGCGUGUGGCUGUGUUUCAGGGUUCCCCAGACAGGAAUACUGCAGCUGACUGUGACAGGGUUCCAGUGGGAUGCUGAGUGGAUCCAGCAUAACACAUGCUGAUGGGCAUAACAGUGGCAGAAAACUGCCCACCACAGAGGUUCUUUUGGCCUCAUACUCUGUGCUGAAACAG
Long non-coding RNA from Myiozetetes cayanensis, 15726 nucleotides. RefSeq lists it as uncharacterized. NCBI's taxonomy places the organism in Eukaryota, Metazoa, Chordata, Aves, Passeriformes, Tyrannidae. The transcript has 4 exons. The record is from RefSeq and is a predicted model, not a curated record.